Molecule: ribosomal RNA, 492 nt
Filed under: uncultured bacterium
Lineage: Bacteria
Description: partial 16S ribosomal RNA
Rfam family: Bacterial small subunit ribosomal RNA
Source: RNAcentral
AGUGAACGCUGGCGGUAGGCCUAACACAUGCAAGUCGAACGGCAGCACAGUAAGAGCUUGCUCGUACGGGUGGCGAGUGGCGGACGGGUGAGGAAUACAUCGGAAUCUACUUUUUCGUGGGGGAUAACGUAGGGAAACUUACGCUAAUACCGCAUACGACCUACGGGGGAAAGCAGGGGAUCUUCGGACCUUGCGCGGUUGAAUGAGCCGAUGUCGGAUUGGCCAGUUGGCGGGGUAAAGGCCCACCAAGGCGACGAUCCGUAGCUGGUCUGAGAGGAUGAUCAGCCACACUGGAACUGAGACACGGUCCAGACGCCUACGGGAGGCAGCAGUGGGGAAUAUUGGACAAUGGGCGCAAGCCUGAUCCAGCCAUACCGCGUGGGUGAAGAAGGCCUUCGGGUUGUAAAGCCCUUUUGUUGGGAAAGAAAAGCAGCAGGUUAAUACCCCGCUGUUCUGACGGUACCCAAAGAAUAAGCACCGGCUAACUUCGUG